RNAcentral lists this small nuclear RNA (157 nucleotides) under Zalophus californianus (California sea lion). RNAcentral describes it as "U4 spliceosomal RNA (ENSZCAG00015005862.1)". The stretch from base 1 to 139 matches the Rfam family "U4 spliceosomal RNA". Rfam says of the family: U4 small nuclear RNA (U4 snRNA) is a component of the major U2-dependent spliceosome. The structure of U4 snRNA from yeast and human has been reported. Lineage: Eukaryota; Metazoa; Chordata; Mammalia; Carnivora; Otariidae. The record is from RNAcentral.
AGCUUUGCGCAGUGGCAGCAUCGUAGCCAGUGAGGUUUAUCCGAGGUGCGAUUAUCGCUAAUUGGAAGUCCUUAUGAUAGAAAAGAUGCUGAGAAAGACUUUAGCCUUAUGGUGAAAGUAAUUUUUCAUAUAAAAUAUUCGCAAAGCACCUGGGUGG